This 497-nucleotide ribosomal RNA is filed under the name uncultured bacterium. RNAcentral describes it as "partial 16S ribosomal RNA". It matches the Rfam family "Bacterial small subunit ribosomal RNA", at positions 28 to 507 of the family's 1533-position model. The record is from RNAcentral.
GAUGAACGCUGGCGGCGUGCCUAAUACAUGCAAGUCGAGCGAACGGACGAGGAGCUUGCUCUUCUGACGUUAGCGGCGGACGGGUGAGUAACACGUGGAUAACCUACCUAUAAGACUGGGAUAACUUCGGGAAACCGGAGCUAAUACCGGAUAAUAUUUUGAACCGCAUGGUUCAAUAGUGAAAGACGGUCUUGCUGUCACUUAUAGAUGGAUCCGCGCUGCAUUAGCUAGUUGGUAAGGUAACGGCUUACCAAGGCAACGAUGCAUAGCCGACCUGAGAGGGUGUUCUGCCACACUGGAACUCUGACACGGUCCAGACUCCUACGGGAGGCAGCAGUAGAGAAUCUUCCGCAAUGGGCGCAAGCCUGACGGAGCAACGCCGCGUGAGUGAUAAAGGUCUUCGGAUCGUAAAACUCUGUGAUUAGGGAAAAACAUAUAUGUAAGUAACUGUGCACAUCUUGACAGUACCUAAUCAGAAAGCCACGGCUAACUACGUG